AAGUCGUAACAAGGUUUCCGUAGGUGAACCUGCGGAAGGAUCAUUAUCGUAGGGCUCUUGUCCUGUCGAGAUAGCGUCCUUGCCUAUUUUUUGGAGCACCUUUCGUUUCCUCAGCAGGCUUGCCUGCUACUGGGGACCCCUCAAACUCUUUGUAAAUACAGCAAUCGUCUGAAAAACAAACAAAAAAAUCAAAACUUUCAACAAUGGAUCUCUUGGUUCUG
RNAcentral lists this unclassified non-coding RNA (221 nucleotides) under air metagenome. RNAcentral describes it as "partial contains small subunit ribosomal RNA, internal transcribed spacer 1, and 5.8S ribosomal RNA". The stretch from base 1 to 46 matches the Rfam family "Eukaryotic small subunit ribosomal RNA", at positions 1786 to 1831 of the family's 1831-position model. The record is from RNAcentral.